UACAUGUGGGGCAAGCGUUGUUCGGAAUUACUGGGCCUAAAGGGUGCGUAGGUGGCUUGUUAAGUCAGGGGUGAAAGUUUUCGGCCCAACCGGAAAAUGGCCUAUGAUACUGGCGAGCUCGAGUGCGUGAGGGGUAACCGGAACGAGCAGUGUAGCGGUGAAAUGCGUAGAUAUUGCUCGGAAGGCCAACGGCGAAGGCAGGUUACUGGUGCGCAACUGACACUGAGGCACGAAAGCGUGGGGAGCAAACAGG
Molecule: ribosomal RNA, 253 nt
Filed under: uncultured bacterium
Lineage: Bacteria
Description: partial 16S ribosomal RNA
Rfam family: Bacterial small subunit ribosomal RNA
Source: RNAcentral